GACGAACGCUGGCGGCGUGCUUAACACAUGCAAGUCGAACGGAAAGGCCCUGCUUGCAGGGUACUCGAGUGGCGAACGGGUGAGUAACACGUGGGUGAUCUGCCCUGCACUUCGGGAUAAGCCUGGGAAACUGGGUCUAAUACCGGACAGGAGCCAUUUUUAGUGUGAUGGUUGGAAAGUUUUUUCGGUGUAGGAUGAGCUCGCGGCCUAUCAGCUUGUUGGUGGGGUAAUGGCCUACCAAGGCGGCGACGGGUAGCCGGCCUGAGAGGGUGGCCGGCCACAUUGGGACUGAGAGACGGCCCAGACUGCUACGGGAGGCAGCAGUGGGGAAUAUUGCACAAUGGGCGCAAGCCUGAUGCAGCGGGGCCGCGUGGGGGAUGACGGCCUUCGGGUGGUAAACUCCUUUCGCUAGGGACGAAGCAUUUUGUGACGGUACCUAGAUAAGAAGCACCGGCUAACUACGUG
RNAcentral lists this ribosomal RNA (465 nucleotides) under uncultured bacterium. Its description in RNAcentral is "partial 16S ribosomal RNA". It matches the Rfam family "Bacterial small subunit ribosomal RNA", at positions 28 to 507 of the family's 1533-position model. The record is from RNAcentral.